This 484-nucleotide ribosomal RNA is filed under the name uncultured bacterium. RNAcentral's name for it is "bacterial SSU rRNA". It matches the Rfam family "Bacterial small subunit ribosomal RNA", at positions 28 to 507 of the family's 1533-position model. The record is from RNAcentral.
GAUGAACGCUAGCGGCAGGCUUAAUACAUGCAAGUCGAGGGGCAGCAUAAGUAGCAAUACUUGAUGGCGACCGGCAAACGGGUGCGGAACACGUACGCAACCUUCCUUUAAGUGGAGAAUAGCCCGGGGAAACCCGGAUUAAUACUCCGUAACAUUUUGAAGUGGCAUCACUUUAUAAUUAUAGAUUUAUCGCUUAAAGAUGGGCGUGCGCCUGAUUAGGCAGUUGGCGGGGUAACGGCCCACCAAACCUACGAUCAUUAGGGGUUCUGAGAGGAAGGUCCCCCACACUGGAACUGAGACACGGUCCAGACUCCUACGGGAGGCAGCAGUGAGGAAUAUUGGUCAAUGGGCGAGAGCCUGAACCAGCCAAGUAGCGUGAAGGAAGACUGCCCUAUGGGUUGUAAACUUCUUUUGUUCGGGAAUAAAGUGCGGCACGCGUGCCGUUUUGUAUGUACCGUUCGAAUAAGCAUCGGCUAAUUCCGUG